CGGGCUCUUUCGAGUCUGG
This 19-nucleotide non-coding RNA is filed under the name Arabidopsis thaliana (thale cress). The record is from RNAcentral. Lineage: Eukaryota; Viridiplantae; Streptophyta; Magnoliopsida; Brassicales; Brassicaceae.